UACGACUACAUAUCAGGCAUAUCAAUAAGCGGAGGAAAAGAAACUAACAAGGAUUCCCCUAGUAACGGCGAGUGAAGCGGGAAGAGCUCAAAUUUGAAAUCUUAAAGGGUUUCCCUUUACGAAUUGUAGUUUAAAGAAGUAGUUUUCUGUUGGAGUUUCGGUAAAAGUUCUUUGGAAUAGGACAUCAUAGAGGGUGAGAAUCCCGUAUUUGACCGUUACUUUCCAGCUGUGUGAUACACUUUCAAAGAGUCGGAUUGUUUGGGAAUGCAGUCCAAGAUGGGUGGUAAAUUUCAUCUAAAGCUAAAUAUUGGCGAGAGACCGAUAGCGAACAAGUACCGUGAGGGAAAGAUGAAAAGAACUUUGAAAAGAGAGUUAAACAGUACGUGAAAUUGUCAAAAGGGAAGCGUUUGACACCAGUGUUGUUUAGUUGUAAAUCAAUUCAAUAGUUUUUGAUUCUAAGUAGUAUUGACUUCAUCAGCUUGCUGCUUUCUUCUCAGAAAUUAUUGAAUGCACUUUUCAGUUAACAAGUCAACAUCAAUUUCUUUUGUUGUAAGAGGGUAAGAGGAAGGUGGCUUGCGCUUCGGCUCAAGUGUUUAUAGCCUUUUAUCUCUGCAAUCGGAGAGAUUGAGGUCUGCAGCGUAGAUCCUUCGGGGUUAGAUACAUUGGUGCUAAGCUAUAGCCUUGUAUAGACAACUUGUUGACUAUGCUCAGUCAUGUAGUUUACUCGCUGAUGCUAUUUUACCUACGCUUAGGAUGUUGAGUAGCGACAUACGCAC
Molecule: ribosomal RNA, 776 nt
Filed under: uncultured Neocallimastigales
Lineage: Eukaryota; Fungi; Neocallimastigomycota; Neocallimastigomycetes; Neocallimastigales
Description: partial large subunit ribosomal RNA
Rfam family: Eukaryotic large subunit ribosomal RNA
Source: RNAcentral